GGAGAGGUACCCAAGAGGCCGAAGGGGCGGGUUUGCUAAACCUGUAGUGGGACGAAAGUUCCAGCGAGAGUUCGAAUCUCUCCCUCUCCGCCA
This 93-nucleotide transfer RNA is filed under the name Candidatus Omnitrophota bacterium. RNAcentral's name for it is "Candidatus Omnitrophica bacterium tRNA-Ser". It matches the Rfam family "tRNA". From Rfam's summary of the family: Transfer RNA (tRNA) molecules are approximately 80 nucleotides in length. Their secondary structure includes four short double-helical elements and three loops (D, anti-codon, and T loops). Further hydrogen bonds mediate the characteristic L-shaped molecular structure. tRNAs have two regions of fundamental functional importance: the anti-codon, which is responsible for specific mRNA codon recognition, and the 3' end, to which the tRNAs corresponding amino acid is attached (by aminoacyl-tRNA synthetases). tRNAs cope with the degeneracy of the genetic code in two manners: having more than one tRNA (with a specific anti-codon) for a particular amino acid; and 'wobble' base-pairing, i.e. permitting non-standard base-pairing at the 3rd anti-codon position. Lineage: Bacteria; Pseudomonadati; Candidatus Omnitrophota. The record is from RNAcentral.